Molecule: ribosomal RNA, 497 nt
Filed under: uncultured bacterium
Lineage: Bacteria
Description: partial 16S ribosomal RNA
Rfam family: Bacterial small subunit ribosomal RNA
Source: RNAcentral
GAUGAACGCUGGCGGCGUGCCUAAUACAUGCAAGUCGAGCGAACAGACGAGGAGCUUGCUCCUCUGACGUUAGCGGCGGACGGGUGAGUAACACGUGUAUAACCUACCUAUAAGACUGGGAUAACUUCGGGAAACGGGGGCUAAUACGGGAUAAUAUAUUGAACCGCAUGGUGCAAUAGUGAAAGACGGUUUUGCUGUCACUUAUAGAUGGAUCUGCGCCGCAUUAGCUAGUUGGUAAGGUAACGGCUUACCACGGCAACGAUGCGUAGCCGACCUGAGAGGGUGAUCGGCCACACUGGAACUGAGACACGGUCCAGACUCCUACGGUAGGCAGCAGUAGGGAACCUUCCGCAGUGGGCGAGAGCCUGACGGAGCAACGCCGAGUGAGUGACGAAGGUCUUCGGAUCGUAAAACUCUGUUAUGAGGGAAGAACAAAUGUGGAAGUAACUAUGCAGGGCUUGACGGUACCUAAUCAGAAAGCCACGGCUAACUACGUG